GGUAGGUUGUGCCGAAUUGGCUAAGGCACCAGUCUUGAAAACUGGCGGGUAUUUUAAUACCCUUGCAGGUUCGAGUCCUGCACCUACCGCCA
This 92-nucleotide transfer RNA is filed under the name Candidatus Aminicenantota bacterium. Its description in RNAcentral is "Candidatus Aminicenantes bacterium tRNA-Ser". It matches the Rfam family "tRNA". Rfam says of the family: Transfer RNA (tRNA) molecules are approximately 80 nucleotides in length. Their secondary structure includes four short double-helical elements and three loops (D, anti-codon, and T loops). The record is from RNAcentral. Lineage: Bacteria; Candidatus Aminicenantota.